CUUGGUCAUUUAGAGGAAGUAAAAGUCGUAACAAGGUUUCCGUAGGUGAACCUGCGGAAGGAUCAUUAAUGAAAUAAAUGUCGAAAAGGGUUGUAUAGCUGGCCUCUUGAGGCAUGUGCACACCUUUAUCGCGCAUCCAUAUCUUACACCUGUGCACAACCUGUAGCUUGGGAUGAUUACAAUACUGGAAACGGUAUUGAAAGCCCUCGCUAUGAAUUUUUAUACAACCGUAUUAAAAGUUAUAGAAUGUUUAAUGUUAUAGCGUGUAACAACGCGAAUAAAUAUACAACUUUCAGCAACGGAUCUCUUGGCUCUCGCAUCGAUGAAGAACGCAGCGAAAUGCGAUAAGUAAUGUGAAUUGCAGAAUUCAGUGAAUCAUCGAAUCUUUGAACGCACCUUGCGCUCCUUGGUAUUCUGAGGAGCAUGCCUGUUUGAGUGUCAUGAAACUCUCAACUGCUUCAGCUUUUGUGGUUGAAGUGAAGUUGGAUUUGGAGGAAUAAUUGCUGGCGUGACCUUCUUAGGUUGCUUGUUAGCUCCUCUUAAAUGGAUGAACUUUCUAGUAGUAAAGUAACACCAAUGUGAUAAUUAUCUGCGUUGGAUGAGCUUUUACAAGGAAAGAUAAAUCUGUCUUGAAGGGAAAACCUCUUGACGAAACAAAUGACAAAUUUGACCUCAAAUCAGGUAGGACUACCCGCUGAACUUAAGCAUAUCAAUAAGCGGAGGAAAAGAAACUAACAAGGAUUCCCCUAGUAACUGCGAGUGAAGCGGGAAAAGCUCAAAUUUAAAAUCUGGCGUUCCUUUGGUCGUCCGAGUUGUAGUCUGGAGAAGUGUUUUCCGCGCUGGACCGUGUACAAGUCCCUUGGAACAGGGCGUCAUAGAGGGUGAGAAUCCCGUCUUUGACAUGGACUACCAGUGCUUUGUGAUGCGCUCUCAAAGAGUCGAGUUGUUUGGGAAUGCAGCUCAAAAUGGGUGGUAAAUUCCAUCUAAAGCUAAAUACAGGCGAGAGACCGAUAGCGAACAAGUACCGUGAGGGAAAGAUGAAAAGCACUUUGGAAAGAGAGUUAAACAGUACGUGAAAUUGCUGAAAGGGAAACGCUUGAAGUCAGUCGCAUCUGCCAGGACUCAGCCUUGCUUCUGCUAGGUGCACUUUCUGGUUUGAUGGGCCAGCAUCGAUUUUGACCGUUGGAAAAAGGUUGAGGGAAUGUGGCACCUUUGGGUGUGUUAUAGACCUCUAUCGCAUACAACGGUUUGGAUCGAGGACCGCAGCAUGCCUUUAUGGCCGGGGUUCGCCCACGUACGUGCUUAGGAUGCUGGCGUAAUGGCUUUAAGCGACCCGUCUUGAAACACGGACC
Molecule: ribosomal RNA, 1352 nt
Filed under: uncultured fungus
Lineage: Eukaryota; Fungi
Description: eukaryotic LSU rRNA
Rfam family: Eukaryotic large subunit ribosomal RNA (bases 668-1352)
Source: RNAcentral